CCUUCCUCUCUCAGAAUGAGGGGAAAAACUUUUUUUUUUCUAUGCUUUAAUUUCCAAUGUAUGUUACAUAGUUGCAUCUGAUGCAAACUGUUGUUUUAGAGUAAAGUUUUAAAAGACUAAUGCAUAAAUUAUCCUUGUUGAAAUAUGAAUGGGCAUCUUGGAAGGAGAAAGAUUCUUAUAUCUAAUUGUACGUCUUCUAGUAGUUAUUUACUUGGUUGUUUUGUUUAAUGAAGAUAUUUGUUAUUUUAGUGUCACAUUGACUGGUUUCUUCAAGCCUUAUUGAAUUGUUAAGUUUUCCUUAUCUUUCUUUCUUUCCCCCCACAGAUGCAGAUCUUUGUUAAGACUCUCACUGGCAAGACCAUCACCCUUGAAGUUGAGAGCUCGGACACCAUUGAUAAUGUGAAGGCCAAGAUCCAGGAUAAGGAGGGCAUCCCCCCUGACCAGCAGAGGCUCAUCUUUGCUGGCAAACAACUUGAGGAUGGCCGCACUUUGGCUGACUACAACAUCCAGAAAGAGUCAACACUCCACCUUGUCUUGCGGCUCAGGGGUGGCAUGCAGAUCUUUGUGAAGACCCUUACUGGCAAGACCAUCACCCUGGAAGUUGAGAGCUCUGACACAAUUGAUAAUGUGAAGGCUAAGAUUCAGGACAAGGAGGGCAUCCCCCCUGACCAGCAGAGGCUCAUUUUUGCUGGCAAACAACUUGAGGAUGGCCGAACUUUGGCUGACUACAAUAUCCAGAAAGAGUCAACACUCCACCUUGUUCUACGGCUCAGGGGUGGCAUGCAGAUCUUUGUGAAGACCCUUACUGGCAAGACGAUCACCCUGGAAGUUGAGAGCUCUGACACAAUUGAUAAUGUGAAGGCUAAGAUUCAGGACAAGGAGGGCAUUCCCCCAGAUCAGCAGAGGCUCAUCUUUGCUGGAAAACAACUGGAGGAUGGCCGCACUUUGGCCGA
RNAcentral lists this long non-coding RNA (953 nucleotides) under Elaeis guineensis (African oil palm). Its description in RNAcentral is "long non-coding RNA (EGUI_LNC024906)". Lineage: Eukaryota; Viridiplantae; Streptophyta; Magnoliopsida; Arecales; Arecaceae. The record is from RNAcentral.